Molecule: long non-coding RNA, 6115 nt
Filed under: Capsicum annuum
Lineage: Eukaryota; Viridiplantae; Streptophyta; Magnoliopsida; Solanales; Solanaceae
Description: long non-coding RNA (CANN_LNC020117)
Source: RNAcentral
CCAUUUUGAUAAGACUUCACGAACUACGCACACCUGAUUCUCCUCUUUCGGGGGUGAGAUACGUAGGCGCCCCUCUUGGGUUCAGUGACCUUUUCAAAAAAAAAAUAAAAAAAAAGGUUUUGAAAAAAAUAAUGUUGAAUUCUAACGCAUUUGUUUUAUCUCUUGUUCAGUUAGUUUAAGGUGGUUGGUUUAUGGCAUUUUGGCUGAUCCUCCAUAUUGCACCAAGUCACAGAGAAAGUUAUGGCUAACAAGGAUAUCGAGUUUGUUAUCACUGAUCAGAUAGGGAGUUCAGGCAAUGAGAAUUUAGGAGCUAAUGAAGAGAUUCAAAAAUUAAGGCAACAAAUGAUAGAAAUGCAUCGAGCUUGGGCUAAUGCGUUGCCACCUCCUCCAUUUCCCGUUGAUAAUCUGGAAUAUCUUUCUAGCUUUCCUUCAGUGUCACAUACACAGUUUCCUAUUUUUGUUGACAAACCACAACAUGCAUCAGGACCUGCUCCGGGGCAACACUAUCCAAACACUUCCAAUAUUCAUUUCCUCACUCCUCAACACAAAGCUACCAUAUGCUCGGCUCCACCUACUGUUCAUGUUUUUGCAGCACCACCCCCACUCGAAGCUCCUACUUUUGAGGUUUAUCCACAAGUUGUGCCUCCCCACUCUGUGAGAGAGCCUAUAUUGAAUAUUUCUGCUGAUCAAUAUUAUGCUAUUGAGCCCACAUUUAAGUCAACUAAUUCUUAUGGCUAUACUCACCCGCCUGAAUUUUCUCUUAACACUGAGAAGCCUGUUAUAACAGAAGAACAAAAGAAAAUGACCAGAAAAUUGAGAAGUUUGGAAUUGGCUAUGAAAGACCUCCAGGGACUUGGGGGUACAAAAGUGUCUCAUAUUAAGAUCUGUGCAUGUUUCCAGGGUUUCAUCUUCCGUUUGGUUUUAAAAUGCCCAAGUUUGAGAAGUAUGAUGGACAUAGCGAUCCUGUAGCACAUUUGAGACGUUAUUGCAACCACCUAGGGGGUACAGGGGGAAGGAAGAAUUACUCGUGGUAUAUUUCGAUGAGAGUCUUUCAGGCCUAGCUUCAGAAUGGUUUGUUGACCAAGACAUCGACAAGAGGAUUAGUUAGGAUGACUAGCUAAUGAAUUUGUGCAACAAUUCCAAUACAAUGUAGAGUUAAUUCCUGAUGAGAAAUCCCUAACUAACAUGAAGAAAAAGAGUACUGAGACUUUCAGAGAGUAUGCGAUUAGAUAGCAUGAACAAGCUGCUAGGGUGAAACCGUCAAUGAAAAAAAGUAAGAUAGUGGAGGUAUUUAUUCAAGCGCAAGAUGAAAUAUAUUAUCAAUAAUUGUUACCUACAUUAGGCAAGCCGUUCAUUGAGGUCCUUAAAAUGGGAAAGAUGAUAGAAGAGGGAAUUAAGACUGGUUGCAUUGUGAUUUUUGCAACAUUGAAAGCGACUACUUAAGUAAUUCAAAAGGGUUCAGGAAGUGUUGGGGAGAAAAAGAAUGAGGAAGAUAAACCUGCUAUUGUAGUUGGACAGCAGGAAAUGUCAAGGUGACUACGUCGUCGUCGCUCUCAGGUUCAAACCCAAGUUCAUGCCCAACCUCCACAUAAUCACUCCCAAAAUCGAUUAUACUCUGCUUCUCCACCAGCAUAUCCAGUAUAUAACGCACAACAAUAUUUUCAACCCCUAUCUUACCCAUAAUGGAACACACCAACUCCUCAGAGUCAUCAUCUAACUCCACAAACAUACCAAAAACCUUCUAAACCUGAUUUUUGAUCCAAGCCAAAUGAUGAAAUGAGACAGAAGUCAAGAGAUAGCUUCACACCAAUUGGAGAGUCAUAUGCCAGUUUAUUUCAGAGAUUGGUACAGGAGGGCAUGAUCACUCCUCUCCUUGGGCACACCCUUAAUUGGUGUUCAAGAAAUUUUGAUCCUAAUACACGAUGUGCGUAUCAUUCUGUUGCUCAGGGUCAUAGUAUUGAAGAUUGUUGACCUUUGAAAAGAGAAAUUGAAAAUAUGAUUCAAUAUGGAUCAGUUAUGGUACAGAACAUUGACAGUAAGGGAAACUCUAGUCAUGCAGAUAUGCAAACCAGUAGCUCAGUUGUCAGGCUGAGCAAUUGAGAUGUCACCCCUCUCCUUACUAGAAAGAGGUCUGGUAGUUUGUUUUAUUUUAUUUUCUGUUAUCCAAACUAUUACAGGGUUGUAGUUUGGGAUCUAUCUUGUUUUGUCCCUUUGUCAUUAUGUUCAAACCCUUCUAUCUUUUAUUUUAAUUAAAUGGAGUGUCCCUUUUUCCUUUGUGUUUUAAAAGUGUUUUUGUUUGUUUUCUUUACAUAGUACAUUUUAUGUUGAUUCUAGUGAUAUGACAUGCUAGCGAAAUUUUUAGCUAGAUUUUAAAAUCCAGUUUAAGCAUGAGCAUGGAAUCAGAGGGUUAAAGUUAGAAAAAGCAUCUGAGAAAAUAGGUAGAGUGUUGAGACAUUUGGUGACCAAGUUGAAGUCUUCUUUAAAAAUUAAGGCAAUUAUUUUGAGAUUACAAGUCUAACUUGGUCAUCAAUUGAAAUACAUGUCUCGAUUAGGUCAAACAGUGGCUGCGUGAUCCUAUAUCAAGACGAAUCGAAAGACAAUCAGCUCCACGAAAUCAUGAGUCCUUCAGCAUGAGGAAUGUACAACGAAAAUGGAGUUGUAUGUUUGACAAGUGUAGAAAAAGAAGUGACAUACAUGCUCAGUUGAAGUUAGUGUUGUUAAAGUGCCACAAAUGAUCUUCAUCUUUCAUUUUCAUAUUGCAUGAUAUGUACUUGCAUUUUUAAGGAUUGAUAUGACGAAGGCAUUUCAUUAUACUAUCCAAACAUCGUGCCAUCCUUUGUUUACCCCAUUUGAGCUUUAGUCCUAUUUUCUUUCAUACCCCUCUUUUGGAAUCAAGAUAGAGUCAACAAAGCUCAAAAUAAAAGUAUCGAGCAAAACAGUAAAGUCAGAAAAGUUUCAAAAAAAAAGAAGAAAAAAAAAAGAAAACAUGUCCAAAAAAAAGUACAGAGGAGUGUCGAGAAAAAUAAAGUCAGAAAGUUUCAAAGAGAAAAAAAGUCAAUAAAAGAGCAAAGAAAAAAAAUUAGAAUCAAGCAAAAGAACAAGUUGCCAGAAUUACGCGUGACUUGAUUCUCCUCUUGCGGGGGUGAGAUGUGUAGGCUGCCCUACUCUGGACUCGGUCCAACGAAAUAAAAUUUAGAAUUUCCCAGUCAAAAGAAACUGGGGCAUAAGCUAAUCCUCAUUGUUUGAGUCGAUUCCAAAAGUUGUAAGUCCUACCCCACUUCAAGUGUCGUUUGGGCCCCAUGCUAUCCUUUCUUUCCAACCCUAUCCAAAAGCUAAGUUACAAGCAAAGAAAGACCUUCAGAUCAAUCUUUAAGGAUGUUAACUAUAAUCAUAUAAGGGAUAUGAUGAUGUAUUUGGGAACUACUUGUCUUCCUCAGCAUAAGAAAGCAAAAGAGAAAUAAAAAUGAGAGUCUUAUUGGUGAAAACCCUCACGGGCACCGUAAGAUGAUGGUAAGUUGAGAGAGAUAAAAAAUGAGAGAGUCUUAUCGGUGAAAACUCUUAUGAUCACCGUAAGACAACUAUGAAUUGACAGAAACGAAGAUAAAAGAGUCUCAUUAGUGAAAAACCCUCACGGACGCCAUAGAAAGAUGGUGAGCUGAGAGAAAAAAAAAAUGAAUGAGGCUUAUUGUCAAAAACCCUUCAAGGCGUCACAAGCUGAAUGAGGUCUCCGAAUGCACUGGGCCCAAGGAAGUAACUCGGUUUCAAGGCUAUUAACUCAACAACAAUUGGUAGAAGUUUGGAUGGAAAGAUCAGGCAGCUUAAUCCAAAAUGCAUGACAUAAUCAUUAGAGGUGACUGUCAUUUCUAGAUAAAUUUUCAUUUCUUUGUUUCAAAUGGGGACAGUCAUUGUAUUUUCUUUUCUUGAGUCAGUUAACCAAAUAAAAAAAUCAUUGCUAUUUUUUCUCUUGUCUUUGAGUCAAGUCCGUAUAAAAAACAAGUGAGAAAAGAUUUCAAAACUGGCUACCAGCUUCUUUAAUUGCACAAAACAAAACAAUAUCCAGCACAUGAAAGAGACAUGAUUAUGAGCCGAAAAAGGACAUGCAGAAAGUUUUGUCAAUAGACAAGUCUGGGAACCCAUGGAAAUACCAAGGCGCAAAGGGUUUAUCUGAGAAACAUGGCAAAGAAGAAAUACUGUGUUUAUUUUAGAGUAACUCUUAAUAACCUGAGUUUGGGUCAAUGAUGCAUGCAAACGGUUGGAAGCAAGGUUAAAUGUGAUGACGGAAAGAGCGUUUGCCGUGAAAGCCAAAGCCACAAACCAGCCACCAUGUUUUUAAACUGACAACCUUUCUUUGCAUGAAACAGGAGCACAUGUUACCGUCAAAUCAAAGAUUUCAAAGCCUAAACAUCAAGGCCCAUAAUUUCUCACUUUUACAAAUGCAGGAAGCAAUGUUACUGCACAGGUUUGAUAGUUAAAUCAUGGUAAAAAUUCAUCAUUUUAUAUCCCUCGGAGACACACUUUCUUAUCCAGGGAUUACAGUUUUCAUUUGUUGGGUGUACACUUCUUAAAUUGAACCUUCACUCCUAGAAGAUGUACCUUUUAGUUGAGUCAUUCCCUUUAACCCCUAGAAGAUGUACCAUUUAGCCGAUUCAUUCCCUUUAAUUCCUAUAAGACGUACCUUUUAAUCGAGUCAUUCCCUUUGAUUCCUAUAAGACGUACCUUUUAGUCGAGUCAUUUCCCUUAAUUCCUAGUAAGACGUACCUUUUAGUCGAGUCAUCACCUUUGAUUCCUAUAAGACGUACCUUUUAGUCGAGUCAUCUCCCUUGAUUCCUAGUAAUAUGUACCUUUUAGUCAAGUCAUCUCUUUUGAUUCCUAUAAGACGUAACUUUUAGUCGAGUCAUUCCCUUUGAUUCCUAUAAGACGUACCUUUUAGUCAAGUCAUUCUCUUUGACCCCUAGAAGACGUAUCUUUUAGUUGAGUCAUUCCCUUUGAUUCCUAUAAGACGUACCUUUAGUCGAUUCAUCUCCCUUUGAUUCCUAUAAGACAUACCUUUUAGUCGAUUCAUUCCCCUUGACCCCUAGAAGACGUACCUUUUAGUCGAUUCAUCCCCCUUGAUUCCUAUAAGGCAUACCUUUUAGUCGAGUUAUUUCCCUAGAUUCCUAUAAGACAUACCUUUUAGUCCAGUAAUAUCCCUUUGAUUCCUAUAAGACGUACCUUUUAGUCGAUUCAUUCCCCUUGACCCUUAGAAGACGUACCUUUUAGUCUAGUCAUCCCCUUUAAUUCCUAUAAGGCAUACCUUUUAGUCGAGUCAUUUCUCUGGAUUCCGAUAAGACAUACCUUUUAGUCGAGUCAUCUACCUUUGAUUCCUGUAAGACUUACCUUUUAGUUGAGUCAUUGCCCUUGACCCCUAGAAGACGUACCUUUUAGUCGAGUCAUUUCCUUUGAUUCCUAUAAGACGUACCUUUUAGUCAAGUCAUUCUUCUUGAUUUCUAGAAAAUGCACUUUCUAGUCGAGUCAUUGCACUUAAUCCUUAUGAGACUCACUUCCUUAUUAGUUAUCAUUUGUCAGGUGACACACUUUUUAAUUUAAACUUCUAUCUCUAGAAGACGCACUUUCUAGUCAGAAUUACUCUCAAGAGAUGCAUUUCUUGGUCUGAGUUUUGAUUCAUUAUAGCAACAUGCAAGUAGGUAUGAUCUAACUUUCUCAAAAAUCUUCUGAUGGUAAACCACUACCAGAAAUUCGCUAUUUUUCGACUAAAAAUGUCCGACUGAAAAAAGUAGUCGAAAAUUUCCAACUACUUCAGUCGAAAAUAUUAUUUUUUUAUUUUUAUUUUUUCAAAAUAUUUUUUCAAUAAUUUUUGUGAAAAAAAUAGUUGGAAUCUUUGGUGAAAAAUUCUAGGAAAUAUAAAUUCCGACUACAGCAGUCAGAAAUAGUAAUAAAUUAAUUAAUUAAUAAUUAAUUUAAUAUACAUCCGACUACUGUAGGCAGAAAUAUUAAAUAAAUAUAAUUCUAAAUAUCUAAUCAGUCCCUUAUAUGAAAAUUAAAUAAUUAUUUAAAUAAAUUAUUAAAUUUAUAUUUACGACUACUGCAGUCGAAAAUACUAAUAACUAAAUAAAAU